Molecule: unclassified non-coding RNA, 204 nt
Filed under: uncultured fungus
Lineage: Eukaryota; Fungi
Description: sequence contains ITS1
Source: RNAcentral
UUGACUUAUUGUAUAAGUUACUCAGAGAGGCCAAUGAUGACUAAGAGUUGCGGGCCUCUGACGGGUUGCCGGGCCCCGGGGAGGGGCCGGCGCGGCGCUUCCGGUGAGGGGGCGCCACCCGCCGAAGCAACGGUGAGGUAGGUUCACAAUGGUUGGGAGUUUUGCAACUCUGUAAUGAUCCCUCCGCUGGUUCACCAACGGAGA